This 590-nucleotide ribosomal RNA is filed under the name uncultured bacterium. RNAcentral's name for it is "bacterial SSU rRNA". It matches the Rfam family "Bacterial small subunit ribosomal RNA", at positions 224 to 806 of the family's 1533-position model. The record is from RNAcentral.
GAUGAGCCCGCGGCCCAUUAGCUAGUUGGGGGUGUAACGGACCACCAAGGCGAUGAUGGGUAGCCGGCCUGAGAGGGUGAACGGCCACACUGGGACUGAGAUACGGCCCAGACUCCUACGGGAGGCAGCAGCUAAGAAUAUUCCGCAAUGGACGAAAGUCUGACGGAGCGACGCCGCGUGGAUGACGAAGGCCGAAAGGUUGUAAAGUCCUUUUGUCGAUGAAGAAUAAGUGUGGGAGGGAAUGCCCGCAUGAUGACGUUAGUCGGCGAAUAAGCCCCGGCUAAUUACGUGCCAGCAGCCGCGGUAACACGUAAGGGGCAAGCGUUGUUCGGAAUUAUUGGGCGUAAAGGGUACGUAGGCGGUUUGGUAAGCCCGGCGUGAAAUCCUGCAGCUUAACUGUAGAGCUGCGCUGGGAACUGCGAAACUUGAGUCAUGGAAGGGGAGUUAGAAUUCCAGGUGUAGGGGUGAAAUCUGUAGAUAUCUGGAAGAAUACCGGUGGCGAAGGCGAACUCCUGGCCAAUGACUGACGCUGAGGUACGAAAGUGCGGGGAGCAAACAGGAUUAGAUACCCUGGUAGUCCGCACCGUAAA